This 468-nucleotide ribosomal RNA is filed under the name uncultured bacterium. Its description in RNAcentral is "partial 16S ribosomal RNA". It matches the Rfam family "Bacterial small subunit ribosomal RNA", at positions 28 to 507 of the family's 1533-position model. The record is from RNAcentral.
GACGAACGCUGGCGGCGUGCUUAACACAUGCAAGUCGAACGGAAAGGCCCUGCUUUUGUGGGGUGCUCGAGUGGCGAACGGGUGAGUAACACGUGAGUAACCUGCCCUUGACUUUGGGAUAACUUCAGGAAACUGGGGCUAAUACCGGAUAGGAGCUCCUGCUGCAUGGUGGGGGUUGGAAAGUUUCGGCGGUGGGGGAUGGACUCGCGGCUUAUCAGCUUGUUGGUGGGGUAGUGGCUUACCAAGGCUUUGACGGGUAGCCGGCAUGAGAGGGUGACCGGCCACAUGGGGACUGAGAUACGGCGCAGAGUCCUACGGGAGGCAGCAGUGGGGAAUAUUGUACAAUGGGCGGAAGCCUGAUGCAGCAACGCCGCGGGCGGGAUGACGGCCUUCGGGGUGUAAACCGCUUUCGCCUGUGACGAAGCGUGAGUGACGGUAAUGGGUAAAGAAGCACCGGCUAACUACGUG